GACGAACGCUGGCGGCGUGCUUAACACAUGCAAGUCGAACGGAAAGGCCCUGCUUUUGUGGUGUGCUCGAGUGGCGAACGGGUGAGUAACACGUGAGUAACCUGCCCUUGACUUUGGGAUAACUUCAGGAAACUGGGACUAAUACCGGAUAGGAGCUCCUGCUGCAUGGUGGGGGUUGGAAAGUUUCGGCGGUUGGGGAUGGACUCGCGGCUUAUCAGCUUGUUGGUGGGGUAGUGGCUUACCAAGGCUUUGACGGGUAGCCGGCCUGAGAGGGUGACCGGCCACAUUGGGACUGAGAUACGGCCCAGACUCCUACGGGAGGCAGCAGUGGGGAAUAUUGCACAAUGGGCGGAAGCCUGAUGCAGCAACGCCGCGUGCGGGAUGACGGCCUUCGGUUUGUAAACCGCUUUCGCCUGUGACGAAGCGUGAGUGACGGUAAUGGGUAAAGAAGCACCGGCUAACUACGUG
Molecule: ribosomal RNA, 468 nt
Filed under: uncultured bacterium
Lineage: Bacteria
Description: partial 16S ribosomal RNA
Rfam family: Bacterial small subunit ribosomal RNA
Source: RNAcentral